This is a non-coding RNA of Macaca mulatta (Rhesus monkey), 729 nucleotides long. The record is from RefSeq and is a predicted model, not a curated record. Lineage: Eukaryota; Metazoa; Chordata; Mammalia; Primates; Cercopithecidae.
AAGAAUGAGGAAAACAACUUACAUAAGUUAUGUGUAAGCAGAUUGAUUUCUAAAUAAAAUUUUUCAAAUUCUUACUGAGAUGUCAGCAGCUGCUAUUUGAAAAUGAGUGACUACUUUCAAUAUGCUACAGUGGAAAUGGAGCUCUCAAAUUAAAACUCAAAUUACUUGUCUCAUCGUUAAUACAUGAACUAUUUGGAUACUAUAAUAGUUGCUGUCCACGACUGGACUAAACAAUAAAAUAUUACCAGACCUGAAGUUUCUGUUAUAGCAUGUCCUAUCUCUGGCCAAACCAUGUCAAUCAACUUCCCAGGAUCCUUAUUCACAGCUCUCUCCCUUCUCUGCGAAGGCCCCAGAUUGUGACUAACAAUGGUUCCAUAUUUGUGGCAAAGGCAGAGGAUGUAAUCAUGGACUCUCCACGUUUCAUAUCACACCCCAGCCACAGUGUGGUCAAAACAUUUAAUGAACAAUUUAAAGAUGCAGGAAGAAGAUAAGGGGGAGUGUCCCUGGAGAAUCUCCCACUGGUCUGCACACUGGGAGAACAGGGUGGAGCCACAGGAAGUUAAUGUCGUUUGCAGGGGGAGAAACCUGUCCUCUCCUGUUCCUGUGUGGUGACCUGGGAUCCAAUCUGUGAGUUGGGGGUCUGUUAAUAGGAACUUGUCUCGCUUUGUUGAGGGGUUCUUUUCUAGUUUCCUUUUCAUCCAAUAAAUUACAUUCCCCUCACCCUUCAAA